AGGAGUUGGAUUGUUCUGUUUCAACUAGAAAUGAGAUUGUUGCAUCAUAGAAACUAAAUUUGCUGUGGCAGCGAAUACGAGUUAAUUUGACUAGGCUUGUAUCAUCUCAUGUCUCCCAGCAAGAUUCUACAUACACUUGUGCUCUACUUCAGUUCUACUCUAAUUGCUUCCCCUCCCCCUGGUGAAUCCUGCUGUUUGCUGAGUUCUGCAGCACCAACACGAGGCUGUUUGCUGAUUUCUAUAUUACUUUAUCUUGCUAAAGUCUCUCCAAAAUAUGGUUUUUGUCAUAUUUUGAUAAUUCCAUGGGCUGCCUUAAAGACAGGACAGAGGUAGGGCUUAGUCCUUACAAGCACAUUUGCUUAUUCUGUUCUUAUUUUAACGAUGUUUGGGGUGAAAAUAUUCAAUUAUUUGACUGUAUUUCUAAGUAAAUGAAAAAAAAAAGCAGAAAAAAGUUGCAAAAUUUGGACUGUUCCAAUAAUAACCAUUCUUUUCCUAUAUUGCAUACAAAGGCUGUGACCUCAUUCCCACUGACUUAUACAUAAUCGAAGAAAAAGCCACGAGGAUCUGCAAGAAGACUUCCCAGUGGAACAGGGCCAGAGAUGAAGUUGCCCAAGAUGACAUCCCAGCUCCAGAACAGAGCAGCUGAUGGAGCUGUGGGUGACCCUCGUCAGUUGCAGGGAGUGGGACCUGAUGGCCUUUAAAGGUCCCUUCCAACUCAACGAUUCCAUGGAGACAUCCCAUGGAAGCCUUUGCUUCCAUGAUUUUGGAGUUCCAACCUGCUGGCAAGCAGCUUUCAAGAACAAAGAAGCGCUGUCCCACGGAGCUGAGAUACCAUCAGUUGGCUCUUGGUGUGGCGAAGGCUCCCACUCAGCUCGCAGUUGCGUUAUAGUCAGUUAUGCUUCAGCUGAAUGCUCUUUCACUGGGGAUGAUAUAAGAGCCAAAAGAUUGCAACGGAGAUGGAUGAGCCACCAAACUCAGUGAGAAUCGUCUUGCUGUGAUUUACUUUAA
This is a non-coding RNA of Meleagris gallopavo (turkey), 1008 nucleotides long. Lineage: Eukaryota; Metazoa; Chordata; Aves; Galliformes; Phasianidae. The record is from RefSeq and is a predicted model, not a curated record.